Molecule: unclassified non-coding RNA, 472 nt
Filed under: Hevea brasiliensis (rubber tree)
Lineage: Eukaryota; Viridiplantae; Streptophyta; Magnoliopsida; Malpighiales; Euphorbiaceae
Source: RNAcentral
UGGAUUAUCCACAAGCUAUUGCUCACAGCAGUUUAUGGCUACAUAUUAUUUGUGCAUUUCGCAAAAUGGAGAGAGAGGCUGCCUCCUAGACCAGCGUUCCACAACUACGUUAUAGUGAUGUUUGUCAUUAAUGCUGUGGCAUGCUGUGGCAUUGUUUGCAUGUGGGCUUGCUGUACUUGGGGCUGGCUUUGGCAUUUGGUUGUACGAUUUCAUGGUUGUCUGCUAUCACUCUCUUUACCUUCCUUUUCUCUACAUAACAUUUCUAGCAGAUUUUUUCCAGGAAGAAGAUUUCCUUUUGGAUAAUGCAUAUUACUCUGAGAUGAAGGAUGCCGGCUUCUUUGAUGCUGAUUGGGAUUAAUUCACUAACGGGUGAAUUGAAAAAAGGCAUACAAUUGUAUUCUCUGUAAAUAAAUGUGAAUGAAAAAAACAUUUAAUUCUGUUGAUAAAGCAAACAAAAAGUGGAUGAAUUGUG